GUCUCAAUGUCAAAUGUGGAUGAAAUUAAUAAUAAUAAUAAAAAUAAUAAUAUGGGAUAAACAAGGAGAAAAGGGAAAUGAUUUUCUUCUCCCCUCCCUUCUACAUUUUAAACUGAGUCCUGGUUAAGAGUAGGGUUAAUGGCCAAUAGUUUUUCUUAUGAUAGUUUUUCUUAUGAAAAUUCAUUAGAAUACUUAUAGCCUUGACGUGAAAGGAGGUGAAGUACCCGUGCACUGCAGCACUGCAGACUUGUUUACCUGCACAGUCUCCUCAGUUUCUACAGUAUACAGCAUCUCACUGAAAGCAAUGGUCGUGACACAGAGGAAUAAGACACACCGGGAUAAUUGAAUGUCAGUAUUUAUAGCCAUCCUACUACUGAUGUAUACUAUUAAAGCAAUUUCCAGUCAAAUGCAUGUUAAUAUAUUUUUCCUGUCCAGAAGGAAUGGAUAAACAAACUGAGAUGAAUAAAGAUGAAUCACCUGGCACCUAAAACUUUCAUUAGGUGACGACUUACCUAAUUUAACUUAAUUCUGUCAAGAUGGAGUAUUUUUUUAACCUCUUUUGAGUAUAGAACUGUGAUAAUAAUGAAUUCAGUAACCCCACAUGAGUCAGGGAUUUUUCUUCAUCAAGACGCAUAAAUUAAGAGAAAUUUAUUAACUGUGAUUUCUGGUUAUCAGUCAAGCUUCGCACUUCUGAGUGUCACAUGGGAUAUUUCUAGAGAUAAAAUUCAGAAGAGUGAAAACACAUUUCAAAACAUCUUUACACAUAUUUUUUACACAUUGAUGUCCAAGGUUGAUGAUUUCCAAAUAAACGCAUGUGCCCUCCCCAGUGUUGGAAAAGCAGGAGACGGCAUUGUUGGCGAGGAGGAGACUGAUGUUGGCGAGUAUAUGGCACACUGCAGCUUGAGACAGGCCAGAUAUCACUUAUUGGUCACUUAGUGCCGCCUCUAAUAAACUGUUUCAGUGCAUUAAGAGAAGAUGCCGUGAAAAACAGAACCGACUUAUAUGCUGAGCCUUUACGGUUCAUCCUUCUACAGAAUUUCUUCUUAAUGAAAUGACUGGGCUUAAUUGUCUUAAUUUAUGGAUUUAUGUUGGCUUUUUUUUAUUAUUUCUUAAAUAUUUAAUAUUUCUUUAAUUAAUGUGAUUAAUACAAAAUGACUGGAUUUUUACAAAAUGUUCAUUAAAUGUGUGUGAGUGUAAUUGAAAUACAAACUUGACAGCAUAAUCCGUAUAUAAAAGUGCAUUAUCCAUACAAAUGAUAUGAUUUGAAGCAGCUCAGUUGUGUUUGAUAUUAGUUAGUCUUCGUUCACGUAAAUUUACACACACUUGAGCACGAUUAUGAUACGAUUUUCUGAAAUUACGGGAUUUUCAUGAAUACUAAAUUUCUUGCAUAAAUGCUCAAAAAAAGAACCAUUUAUGAUUAAAUGUUUUAAGUAUACUAUUCUGUAUAUAAGGAGCUUUUACAAUAAAUACAAUGUUUAUGAUGUUCAAAAAUCACACAAAAUAAUUUAUUUAUUUAUUUUUUUUACAGUUUAUAGCAUUAGUGAUCCUAGAACAUCUGGUAGAUGAAUGUCUGUAUCACAUCCUCCAAGAACUCCAUCUCCCAGAAUCCCCUGCUGACUACCACACCCCUCUCUCAGCCAACCCACUCCUCUUCGCAAGCUCACUAAUCACACUCACCUGCACCUCAUUUACUAAUCACCACUUCACCCUUAAAUGCAUCUCAGUUUUGUGCAGUUUUGGUCUUGUUUGUGCUCUUCAGCUCACAAGUCUGAUGGUUUGUCUACAAUGGAAUCUGGGAAUGAGCAUUCAGAAAUGGAAAAUAAAAUCUAGAUGGAUGCACUAGCCCCGGCGUAAGGGACAAGGAGAUUACGUGAUCAGGUUUUCAUUCAGAAACGCCUGGCAGGCCUUCACCAAUGAAAAUAUAAAAGGGCAAGGGCAAAGACACGGCAGUCAUUCUGAUCCGCUCUCCCAGGGGCAAUGUCAUUUCGUCAGGAGCCACACGUCUCCAGACCAGACCACAAGAUGCAAAACUGUGAACUGUGAAACUCAUGAAUAGGUGUGUAGCAUUCAAGAAUGUCUCUAACCUCAACUAAAUGUAGCCUCAAUCAAUCUCAGAUCUCAAACUAUGAAAUGUACAACAUGGCUGAUUAGAUUUAAAAAAAGAUAUUAUAAGAUAAGACAUCAAUGAAUUAAAAUAACAAAUAAAAAACUAAACAAAAAUUAUGCAGAUAAAUUGUCUAUUUAUAUGGCUGUGUAAUGAUAUUUAAAGACAUUACUGGUAGCCAAGCCAGCACACACAUCAUCUUGGGUAACUAGCUCUAAUUCAUUUCUGCAGGAUUAUGUUCUAGUCGGCUCUUGUUUGCUUCCUGGUGUCUCCCUGUUCCAGCUCUGCCCUGACAAUGUUCCUUGUUAUUGCUCACAUCUGUUCCUCAUUGUGUGUCGUCUCCGUGCAUGUGCUGUAUACUCAUGUUUGUCGAUGCUACGUAAAAUCUUCCCCCGUGAGCCUACAGUCCCAUCCACAUGCAUAUGGACAGUUCAAAAAAAAAAAAAUUUCACCCAUCUCUAAUCUGUAAUCUCUGUCCACAUGAAAAUUUUGAAAAUCUGCUCAUAAGCAUGCCAGCCCAGGAAGUAAUGAUAGUAUAGACAUUUAUAUCAAACACCUCAACAACAACGUUAAGAGCUGCGUAUUGAGUGUCGGAGAAGGUGAAAGACAGAAAAACACCAACACAAUGAUUCGAAUGUGAGAACUGUCAAUGAUGUAGUCAUUCACUCCUCUCUAUCUUAUCGAAAAUCUCCGUUCACAGUGAGGUUUGUACCACUGAUGGAUUCAGCACUCAUCAUAUUAUAUUUAAUAAGCAUAAAGUGAAAUGAUAUUGCAAAAAUGUUACUAGAUAGGAAAUUACAGACCACAAAGGAACAAUGAUAUGAUGAACAGAGUCCUGGUGUGUAAUGGCCAUGCGCAAGUUGAUGCUGUGACAUCAGCGUUUUCAAAUUUCAUAAUUUUCAUAAUUUCUUCACAUUUGAUGGUGCUUUUGAUGUUAUUUUUUUUUCCUUUCUUUUUUUCAGUGACCCAAAACACCAUUUUCAUGUGUACGGGAGGCAGAAAUAUCCGUAUACAUGUGGACGGGGUUUAAGCUGCAUCUGAAAUUAUGUCGUACACUCUAUAUACUAUGUGCUUGAGAAGGUAGUAUCUGGUUUUUGUCGGGUUGCGACUUCUCAAAUCGAACACUAACAUUUUGCACUGCACCAAAAUGGAAAAUUAAUUGACCUGCCAUGUAACACCCUUCAAAGGAGCAUCUGCUGGUUUAAAAAAACCCAAUAUCAGGUUUUGCUCUUCAUUUGCAUCCACUGUAUAUUAGCAUGAUCAUUCAGUAAGUUGACCAUUCAGCAACAUUUAAACUGCAGCAUAUCUGAGCGUAUGCCGUUUUCUUUAAAAAAAAAAAAAAUCAUCUUUUUUUUUUCAUUUACUCACAUCAAAGAGUGUAGAGUAAUGUAGUGUAAUUUAAGUUUCAUUUCAUGUUGUUGUCAAGAGCAUUCAGUUCCACUCCAGGAUUGGCAGAGUCCACAGAGUUACUGAUUUUGCUGCUCAAAGAGCCCUGAUUCAGCUCACCAGUUAAUCACCAGGGUUAGUAGCUGUUUUAGGGGAAAGUUCUCCAGGACUGGAGCUGAUGACCCCUGCUGUAGUCCUUGUUCAGACUCUUACAGCUGUUUCCAAAGUUAAUCUAACACUUGUCUUAAAAGGCUGACAGCCGUCUAUGUAAUUUUUUAAAAAGUUUUUAGAAUUAUUGAUUUUUUUUUCUUUCGGCUUCAUGAUGCGUGACUGGUGGCUACAAAGGAGCCAAUAAAAGGACUCAAAUGCCACACAAAUGCAACCAGACUAACCAGAGGAAUUGACUAGAGUUCCUCUAAUUCAAAGAACUGUAAAUGGGAAAAGAAAUUCUGGUAGAAAAUAACUGCAUAUUACAGUGCUUUGACCUGCACACUAUACUCAAAAAGCCACAAUACAGUAAAUGUUGUUGUGGAUUUCAGUAAAUUGAACGUUCUUAUAGUUCCAGGCUUUAAAUUAAAAAAAAGAAAGCAAAUUGGAUGUUCCCCCACCCCCCUUAAUUGAGUUUUAAUUCUCACUGUCUUUACUUUUCUAAUGACAUUUUCCCAAUUCUAUCAUACUUCUGCUUUUCAUAAAAAUGUUGAAAUUGAUGUAAAAAUGUACCACAAGUAUAUGGUAUAAUUCGUAAUCCAAACUAGAACAAGCAUUCAAGCAUUCUCAGUGUAAGUGCAAAUAAUAAAACAGCUGGACCAUUUUAUAUACAUGAUAAAUAAAAUACAUGAAUGAUACAGCAAAGUGUAUAUGUUCAAACUUUGGAAAUUGACUUUAUCUGAUAUCUUGUUUUUUUUUUUUUUUUUUUUUAAAUUCAAAACGCACAAUGCCAAUGCCAAUGUUUGUCCUGGCAAAAAAAACCCAGAGUUCCAUCUCAUGUCAUGUUGGGACCCUCAUCCGUCCCCAAGCUCCCGAUAAGAGGCAUGUCGUUGCCUUAGCGGAGACAUCGGAUCUGAAAGGACAUCCCCUCGUUAGGCCACUCGGAGACGUUGGGCGCUUGCGGACAGACGGCAGACGGCCAUUAUCUCUGUCACCUGACACACACGACACGGCCGAGGCUUUACUCUUUAAUGUCUCUGUGGUGAACCUGAGAGCAUCCAUUUUGCUUGUCCUGGCUGUUUCAUCCGAUCCUGUCAGUAGGGAUUGCGAGGGCUCAUAAAUGAUGGAGGAGGUUUUUAUCGUUCCUGUUCUGUCAUAUUUUGGGGAUUGUAGAGCUGCGAUUUGCAGAGAAAUGAGACUUGAUCCUUCCACAAAUAUUUGAUGUAAUCUCUUCUUGAUUACUUGAUAUUACUGCAAAAUUUUCAGAUGGUUUGGGCUUGAUGGAAAGGUUUCCAAAGAAAGAGUGAUUUUUGGUUAUGCAAUAGGCUCUUUAUUAUCCUUUGUGUUUACUAUCUGCUGUCUGUCUAUAGUCUGAGGGGGGUAAAAGGGAUACUAAACUGUAAACCUUUCUUAAUCUUUUGCACAUUUUAUAUGUAUCUUUGGCCUGGAAAUGUGGAUGUUGUGUACCUUUAGAAAAGAUUUAAGGUGCAUUAAAGGACAGUAAUUAGAGUUUUUGAGUUAAGCUGAAAUUCACUGUAAGAGACUUUAAAGGUCCUAAAGGUGUACAGUGACAUGCAAAGGUACAGUUCAGCACCUUUAUUUUGCUUUUCUUCAAACUUGCACAGCCGAUUUUAAGAGAGAGAGAAAUAUUGCAAAGCAUAUUGUUCCAUAGCAUUCUGUCCCAAACUGUCUGUCUGUCUGUCUUCAGAAGCACAAAUGAAAUGAUGAUGGACCUCCAUUCAAAGACUUAACUUUUUUUUCUUGCCCUACCCCAGAUUUCUCCAUCUCUCUCUUUCUCAUCCAUACAAUAUUAUUAGCACUGUGUCCUGAGAUCCUCGGAAUAAAUCCCAAACGACUCAUUAUUGCACAUAUAGCGAGGUUGUGUAGGCGGUAAGGCUGCAUUAUUUCAUCCCUCCUGCGCGCAGUGCGCUGAUGUAGGGAACACGGGGCGUUUGGGACUCGGCCUUGAGAGGCAAGCACCUCGCUGUGUCCUGCUGUUAAAGCUCACUAUUACCACCCCCUGGGCGAGAUGGGGGAGAGACAUGUUGCAGGAAGGAAGGAUGUUGUACAGAGUAAUGAAAGGAAGAGAAAAAUGGGUGAUUGGAAUGAACUCAGGUUAUAAGCAACUGAUCAUUGUAAUAAGUGCUGAGAGCUGAGAGACGCCUGCAGUGAAAUCUCUCAAACAGCCCACAGAUUUACAGCUGCCAGGUAGACACACACACACACACACUGCACGAGUCCUCUGUUCUUCCUUAUAAUGGAUUAUCAUCAGGUUCAUUAUUAUUAUUAUUAUUAUUAUUGUUAUUUUGCUGAUGAAUUCCUCAAGCAGCUUUCAAUCUUACUUUGUAUCCAAGUUACUUUUUUUUUUUUUCCCCUCACACUCUUCCUUACACCCCACUGGUAAUAAAUCACCUGCAGGUAUUCAUUAGUUCUUCCAGGGUUUAUAUGUGUCGUGUGAGAUUAAUAGAAACACAGAGGUGCGGCGCGCAACCAUGCGUAAUUCUAAACGGAAAAAAAAAAACACUGGAAGGAAAUUCAUCAUCCAACACGCGCGCAUGUUUGGUCUAAAGGUAAUUUUUCACACAUCACUUUCUUGGACACCUCCCUGACUCUGACUCAGGGUGUGUGUAUGUUCCGUUAAUGACCCGUGAAAAUGAAAUUACACCGGGUGAAAUGUUGCGCGUCUCAUUAAAAGGCGCUAAUUACCCAGUGCAAGAAGCGCCUGGGUUUCCUAACUACUUGUUGAAGGAAAUAAGAAGUAUAGGUGUGUGUGUGUGUGUGUGUGUGUGAGUGGACUUACAGUGAACGGCAGCCAUGGCUGAGCUGAACACGGCGAGCAGAGACGCACCGAGCGCGCAACACCGCCACUUCUGUAACUCCAUGGCCGCGUAAA
Pangasianodon hypophthalmus (striped catfish) is the source of this 6530-nucleotide long non-coding RNA. RefSeq lists it as uncharacterized. The transcript has 3 exons. NCBI's taxonomy places the organism in Eukaryota, Metazoa, Chordata, Actinopteri, Siluriformes, Pangasiidae. The record is from RefSeq and is a predicted model, not a curated record.